CCUACGGGGGGCAGCAGUGGGGAAUAUUGGUCAAUGGGCGAGAGCCUGAACCAGCCACGUCGCGUGAAGGAUGACGGCCCUCCGGGUUGUAAACUUCUUUUGUCAGGGAGCAAUUGGGUCCACGCGUGGGCUUAGCGAGAGUACCUGACGAAACAGCAUCGGCUAACUCCGUGCCAGCAGCGGCGGUAAUACGGAGGAUGCGAGCGUUAUCCGGAUUUAUUGGGUUAACAGGGGGCGUAGGCGGAAUAUCAAGUCAGCGGUAAAAAUUCGGGGCUAAACCCCGUCGUGCCGUUGAAACUGAUGUUCUGGAGUGGGCGAGAAGUAUGCGGAAUGCGUGGUGUAGCGGUGAAAUGCAUAGAUAUCACGCAGAACUCCGAUUGCGAAGGCAGCAUACCGGCGCCCAACUGACGCUGAAGCACGAAAGCGUGGGUAGCGAACAGGAUUAGAUACCCCUGUAGUC
This 460-nucleotide ribosomal RNA is filed under the name uncultured bacterium. RNAcentral's name for it is "partial 16S ribosomal RNA". It matches the Rfam family "Bacterial small subunit ribosomal RNA", at positions 338 to 795 of the family's 1533-position model. The record is from RNAcentral.